RNAcentral lists this ribosomal RNA (303 nucleotides) under Triticum aestivum (bread wheat). RNAcentral's name for it is "partial small subunit ribosomal RNA". The record is from RNAcentral. Lineage: Eukaryota; Viridiplantae; Streptophyta; Magnoliopsida; Poales; Poaceae.
AUGAAUAAAGCCAUUGAAUCAACUAAACAAACAGAUAUAAGGGGAGUAAAAGUAAAAAUUGCAGGUGGGAGGAAAAAAAUUGCACGUGCCGAAUCCAUAAAGAAGGGCAGACUUCCUCUCCAAACAAUUCAUGCUAAAAUUGAUUAUUGCUGCUAUCCAAUUCGAACUAUCUAUGGAGUAUUACGUGUAAAAAAUUGGAUAUUCGUAGAAGAGAAAAAAUUUCUACAAACGAUACGUACGUGCACCAAAAAACCUGAUAGCACACUUGCACCAUCUUGUCACGUACUUACAAAAAAGAACUGA